UUCCGCCCCGCCCUUUCUCCCUUCCCUACACUCCGCGUUCCUAGCCGCCCUGACACGCCCCUGGGCUGCUGCCCUGCGCACUCUCCAGUCCCCGGGCCCCCACCCCCUACCCGCUGAUGAGAGACACCGGGCUCCGGGCCUGCGCCUCGCUCGCACCUCUGCUGUCACAGCCUGGCCGCCUCCAAGCUCAUGUCAUCCCCUUUCCACGGGCCCCUGGCCCGCCUGGACCAGCUCCACCCAGGGGUCAAAAGUGCAGUCCCAGGCCCAGGACAGGAGCCUGGCCCUGAUCCCAGCACGCACCCCCUUCCCCCAAACCAGUCUUUCCUCUGGAAAGAUAAAGCUCUCUCCCCAGACCCCCUGUGUCCUCUCCCCCCCAACCCCCUUUCCUUUUAAUUUCAGACUUUUAUGCAGGGAGGGGGGAGGGGCAGGGGUGGGUUUUUGCACAAAUAUUUAAUCUUUCCCCACCUGCCCUUUUGCACUGCCUGUUGGUCCCCCGAGGUGGAGACCGCUGUGUUUGCUUUAGCGGGUAACAGGAUCCUGCUCAGAGAAGCCCAGCAGCAGGCAGAUGGUUUGACUGCACACUGUUGCUCUGCCAGGCAGCUCGGCAGGGCGACUGAGAUGUUCGCUUUCUGCUGGAGAGAAGCGCAGCCCGGCUCAGGCCCGUUGCCCUGUGUGCAGGACGCCAGCAGAUGUAGAAAUGGAGCCAGAAGCACCCCCCUGUGAAGACAGGUUAUCCUGAGAGGCACAGUCUCACCGGCAGAGCCAACGGAAGAACAAGGAAACAGAAAAACGUCACCGCUCCCUAUGCCAGGGGUCUUCAAAAGGUCCAUGGGACUUGCAUGUUAGGAACAAAUCAUGCACGAAUUUUGAUCAAUUUUCACCAAAAAAAGUCCUAAAGAAAAAGAUUUAAUUUGCUUAUUUGAAAAGCGGAGAGAGUGAGCACACGCACACAAGAGUGAGCUUCCACCUGCUGGUUCACUCUGCAGACGGUUGCAAUGGCCAGGGGUGGGCCAGGCUGAAGCCAGAGCCAGGAACUUCAUCCGGGUCUCCCACGUGGGCACCAGGAGCUUCAUCCGGGUCUCCCACGUGGGUACCAGGAGCUUCAUCCGGGUCUCCCACGUGGGUACCAGGAGCUUCAACCGGGUCUCCCACGUGGGUACCAGGAGCUUCAUCCGGAUCUCCCACGUGGAUACCAGGAGCUUCAUCCGGGUCUCCCACAUGGGUAGCAGGGAGUCUUCUGCUGCUUUCCCAGGCACAUUAGCAGGGAGCAGGAGUGGCGUGUUUGCUUGGGGCCGUGGUGGCCCACACCUUGUGGAAGGAAGCCUUCUCUGUCUCCCUGUCUCACCAGGGGCAUGCAGGGGGCUUCCGCACUUGGUUCCUCUUCUCUUUCUGCUGUCGAGGGUGGGGGUGGGCAGACACAGGUGCACCUGCUGAGGCUGUGGGUAGCACAGGUGCCCAGGGUCUCUCUCUCCCGUUGCCCUGCGCUGGGGGAACUGGGCGAGGAAGGGGAGGAACAGAGAGAAGCCACUUGCCCAUGGGAGCCCCCACAGUGAUGCAGGUGCCACCUCGGCUUCCUACGGAUCCAGGUCCUAAGCUGUCGCUAGCGAGCCAGCCUUGUGACUUUGCAUCCAUGAGAACAGGGCCUGGAACCCCUGCAGGCACCAUGCAGGCACCGUGCAGUGGCUGCUGUGCCUAUCUCAAGCCACGUGUGCUCUUCCUGCCUAGGAAGCACCAAGUGCAAGGGCAGUAGCCUGUGGGGUCCUUUUGGUAGCCAUUGGAAGACAUGCUUUUCCCAUUUUCAACUUUAUAAAUAAGGGCCCUGUUUAGCCUAGGGAUUAAGAGGUCCACUUCCCACUUCGGGGAGAAACUGGCUUCAAUUCCUGGCUUCAAGUCCUGGCUCCAGCUUCUUGCUCAUGGAGACUCCAGAAGGCAGCGGUGAUGACGGAAGUCCUCGGGUCCCUGCCACCCACAGCGGAAACUUGGGUGGGGAUCCUAGCUCCUGGAUGUUGACAGGGUCCAGUCCUGGCUGAUGUGGGCAUUCAGAGCCAAUGGGAGCUGCAUCUGUCUGUCAGCCUCUCAAAUAAAUACACAUAAAUGGGUCA
Molecule: long non-coding RNA, 2102 nt
Organism: Oryctolagus cuniculus (rabbit)
Lineage: Eukaryota; Metazoa; Chordata; Mammalia; Lagomorpha; Leporidae
Source: Ensembl